AGAUGAGUUAAAGUAGUACGUAUUUGAAUACAUAAAAUUAAUAUCAACUAUUUUGAAUUGAUCGCGAGCAAUUGAUUUACACUUGACGACUUUUUGUUUUAUAGAAAUAAUAAUAUAGAGAUAGAUUGAAUGAUUUAUUGAUUGGUGUUGUUUAACGCCACUUUCAACACGUGUUUUAUUUCGUGGCGGUCAGAUUGUAUCGGAGUGCCCAGGGAAAACAAUCGACCUUCAGCAGGAAAACUAGCAAUUCAAGACAAUUAAGGACAUGGGAUUUCAAGGUUGACUAGUGACCAACAUAAAUUCAUAACUCGGUUUAUAUUGUUCAAACAAUAGUUACUAAUAUAGAAAUAGAUCAAUUAAAGACAAUCAAAGGAAUAACCGCAACGUGAAGAAGCAACGCACAAAAGAUUGAUCUAUGAUGACCGAAGUGAUAUCAACUACAGCA
This 445-nucleotide long non-coding RNA is filed under the name Mytilus galloprovincialis (Mediterranean mussel). Lineage: Eukaryota; Metazoa; Mollusca; Bivalvia; Mytilida; Mytilidae. The record is from RNAcentral.